Molecule: ribosomal RNA, 404 nt
Filed under: Verrucomicrobiota bacterium
Lineage: Bacteria; Pseudomonadati; Verrucomicrobiota
Description: Verrucomicrobia bacterium partial 16S ribosomal RNA
Rfam family: Bacterial small subunit ribosomal RNA
Source: RNAcentral
UGGGGAAUAUUGGACAAUGGGCGCAAGCCUGAUCCAGCCAUGCCGCGUGAGUGAUGAAGGCCCUAGGGUUGUAAAGCUCUUUCACCGGUGAAGAUAAUGACGGUAACCGGAGAAGAAGCCCCGGCUAACUUCGUGCCAGCAGCCGCGGUAAUACGAAGGGGGCUAGCGUUGUUCGGAUUUACUGGGCGUAAAGCGCACGUAGGCGGACUAUUAAGUCAGGGGUGAAAUCCCGGGGCUCAACCCCGGAACUGCCUUUGAUACUGGUAGUCUUGAGUUCGAGAGAGGUGAGUGGAAUUCCGAGUGUAGAGGUGAAAUUCGUAGAUAUUCGGAGGAACACCAGUGGCGAAGGCGGCUCACUGGCUCGAUACUGACGCUGAGGUGCGAAAGCGUGGGGAGCAAACAAG